GUUACUCAAAAUUCAAGAGCUGUAUGGUUUAGAAAUUUAGAAACUCAAGUGAUUCCAAGGAAGGAAUAUUUGUUUUCUAAUUGCCAUUGGUGGCUGGAAGUCAUGAAACAGUAACCAGCUUAUUUUAGCAAUUUUCUGUUUAAUUCCUUUUAUGUAGAAAAGACAACAACUGCAGGCAUUAUGAGGGAACUAGGAGAGAUUAAAGAGAAAUCACUGUAGAAACAACUUUUCAGAUAACUGCAUCAUUCUUAGUACUCCCUGCUCCGAAAAUGGUUCAACUUGUCUGAAAAAUGAAGGGGUCAAAUAUGUGCACACAGCCACUUUGCCAAGUGUGGGAAAGAACCAGUGUCUGGAUUAGUUCCAAGCCAUCCAGACAGCUAUUUCAACUGGAACAAGUGACCUUUGGAACAGACUAGAACAUAACAGCCUGGCCAGACAGAGGGGAGGGAGUAGGCAGUUGGGAAGGACCCCAACAUGUUCUUCUGAAAGCUCAUUUGAAAUAAGA
RNAcentral lists this long non-coding RNA (505 nucleotides) under Rhinopithecus bieti (black snub-nosed monkey). RNAcentral's name for it is "lncRNA (ENSRBIG00000046127.1)". Lineage: Eukaryota; Metazoa; Chordata; Mammalia; Primates; Cercopithecidae. The record is from RNAcentral.